CGUGAGGAACCUGCCUUUCANAGGGGGACAACAGUUGGAAACGACUGCUAAUACCGCAUAACGCAUGGGUAUCGCAUGGUAUCUGUGCCAAAGAUUUAUCGCUGAGAGAUGGCCUCGCGUCUGAUUAGCUAGUUGGUGAGGUAACGGCCCACCAAGGCGACGAUCAGUAGCCGGACUGAGAGGUUGGCCGGCCACAUUGGGACUGAGAUACGGCCCAGACUCCUACGGAAGGCAGCAG
RNAcentral lists this ribosomal RNA (238 nucleotides) under uncultured bacterium. RNAcentral's name for it is "partial 16S ribosomal RNA". It matches the Rfam family "Bacterial small subunit ribosomal RNA", at positions 116 to 354 of the family's 1533-position model. The record is from RNAcentral.